RNAcentral lists this long non-coding RNA (212 nucleotides) under Brassica napus (rape). RNAcentral describes it as "long non-coding RNA (BNAP_LNC017581)". Lineage: Eukaryota; Viridiplantae; Streptophyta; Magnoliopsida; Brassicales; Brassicaceae. The record is from RNAcentral.
UCGUAACGCUUUUUGUUUCGACUCAAUCGGAGUUUCCGUUGAGAUUUUACGACGAAAACAAGUAGGACUCUUCUUGGCUUGCUUCCACUCGCUACGUAGCUACCUGUCAGACCUCCACUCGCUACGUAGUGACCUGUCAGACCUCCACUCGCUACAUAACGACCUGUCAGGCCUCAGAAAAGUCCUCCUUUGCGUUCUCUUUUGAAUCCUCA